GACGAACGCUGGCGGCGUGCUUAACACAUGCAAGUCGAACGCUGAAGCUCAGCUUUUGUUGGGUGGAUGAGUGGCGAACGGGUGAGUAACACGUGAGUAACCUGCCUCCUUCUUUGGGAUAACGCCCGGAAACGGGUGCUAAUACUGGAUAUUCACUGGUCUUCGCAUGGGGGUUGGUGGAAAGGGUUUUUCUGGUGGGGGAUGGGCUCGCGGCCUAUCAGCUUGUUGGUGGGGUGAUGGCCUACCAAGGCUUUGACGGGUAGCCGGCCUGAGAGGGUGACGGGAACCAUGGGGAGGGGGUUACGGCCCAGAGUCCAACGGGGGGAGGCGUGGGGGAAAUUGGCACAAGGGCGCAAGCCUGAUGCAGCGAAGCCGCGGGAGGGAUGGAGGCCUUCGGGUUGUGAACCUCUUUCGCUCAAGGUCCAGCCGCAACAAUGGUUGUGGUGAGGGUAGUGGGUAAAGAAGCGCCGGCUAACUACGUG
This 482-nucleotide ribosomal RNA is filed under the name uncultured bacterium. RNAcentral's name for it is "partial 16S ribosomal RNA". It matches the Rfam family "Bacterial small subunit ribosomal RNA", at positions 28 to 507 of the family's 1533-position model. The record is from RNAcentral.